Long non-coding RNA from Xiphophorus couchianus (Monterrey platyfish), 456 nucleotides. RefSeq lists it as uncharacterized. The record is from RefSeq and is a predicted model, not a curated record. Lineage: Eukaryota; Metazoa; Chordata; Actinopteri; Cyprinodontiformes; Poeciliidae. The transcript is spliced from 2 exons.
AAUAGCAUGAAGAAAUCAACACUUAGUGUUCCCCAGUGAAAGCAGCGAGUUUUCACGGUGACUGUGGUGAUUCUGAAUCACCCGAAGAAAAAUAAAAACGCUAAAUUCACCCGUCGAGACUGGCUGGUUAAUUCAACUGCUGGGGAGCUGCUACAGUGUAAACUCGAGGCUUCCGUGUGUCGCCUUCCAUUUGACGGUGAGACGUUUGGAUCUGACAUCGGCCGAGGUUUGGCGCUGCGUCGGAGUCAACGCCACCAUGAGGAGCUGUCUUCGUGGUGGAUCCAAGUUAGCAACAGAAACUGAAUGUAACAGAUGACCACUGGCGCGGUGAGAAAUUGACUGAUCAAACAACGCGGAAAUAACUUGGAAACGACGUCACCUGAAUAUGUAUGAAAUUAAAUGAGUUCAAGGACUAUGUUUGGUCAAAUUAUAUGCCAAAUUACUUAUAAGGUAUGU